CUCGAUAAUAGUACCAACAUAAAUUGCUUCGCGUGUUAGGAGCCACUUUGUUGAGUAGAGGAUUGAUAUUCAAUAAUUUAAACUGACGUCUGGUUUGAAGGCCCUGCUUUCGAGACGUGUACUGCGAGUCCCACACGGAACCCAUCAACAAAUGCGCCGGAAACACAGUUAUUGUGCGGUGCAUGUGAUUGAUGCUACUGUGUUUGAUGCACUACGGAGCUAGAUUUUUAACUGACUACGUAAUGACAUAUAUAUUACGCGUGAUAUCAUGUCCGUUGAUAGCCGUGCACCAUAUUGGGUCAUGCUUAUCAUAAUACUUAAUGCAUUUGUCAUGGAAAAUUAAUCGUAGUGGAAAAUUUCAAAUCUGCAGGACCAGCGUUAGUAGGUUCAACAGAGUUUCUGCAUUUACAGAAAAUCACAAAUCAAAAAGUUUACUCGAAUGUGUCUAUGGAUUCUACUUUUACGAUAAAUUUGACAAAAUCUUUAGAAAAAUAUUGUAGAAAAAUUAAUGAAAUAUGAAGUUCGAUUGCGAUCAAAUUGUUUAUAAAAGCAAAUAUACUGAAAUAGUUAUUAAACAGAGCGAAUAAAAAUGUAUAUGUUUCGUAUUAUUUAUCUUAACUUUUAAAAAAAUACACGCAAAUUCUUUGAAAUAAAAUAUUUGGGAACGCUUAUGUCGACUUUACUGGGAAGAAAAAGGCAUAUUUUCCCCCAUAAGUGGAAAAUUUGGUAGCAUAAAUCAUCUUACACCUAAAUUUUGCUUAACUAAACUUCAGUAUGCCAUGCCAUUAUUACGGAAGUUUUCUCAGAAUUGUUUUCACGAAACCUCUUGUAAAAUCGAGUAAGAAAAAGAAAUAUGAGCAAAUAUACAAACUCAGUAAAAUAUUUUUGUGGUAUGUGUAUGGAUUCUGUUAUUUGACUUUGUUUAUAAUAACUUCGUCAGCAGUGCAACACGCUAGAAUUGUUAAUAUUGAUAAUGUUGCAAUUUCUUUUCAAUAAAAUUAUUUAUUUAGAUAUUAUCAGAAAAAAACUGGCCCUAAAACUAGUUAUCAGUAUAUCAAAUUAGUUUAUUAUGAGUAGGUAUAUCGGAUAUAACGUAGUUCUAUGGAAAACUAUCACAACGCAACCCCUGCAGUAUAUAAAUAUGUCCGUGUUCACUGACACAAAUGAACGUGUUAAUUACAAGCAUGUGUUGCCAGCAUAAUUCCCUUGCUAAUAGAAGCUAAGUGAAAAUUAUUGUUUUCCACAAGGGAUCCCCGAGUUAUUUAUCACAGAACUGACAACGAUCGAGCCUGGUUUACGACGUAAUAAUACUGAUAAUGAUGGCACGCGAACUGACUAAUUAUA
Long non-coding RNA from Plodia interpunctella (Indianmeal moth), 1344 nucleotides. RefSeq lists it as uncharacterized. The record is from RefSeq and is a predicted model, not a curated record. Lineage: Eukaryota; Metazoa; Arthropoda; Insecta; Lepidoptera; Pyralidae. The transcript has 4 exons.